GAAAUGCGAUAAGUAGUGUGAAUUGCAGAAUUCAGUGAAUCAUCGAAUCUUUGAACGCACAUUGCGCCCUUUGGUAUUCCUUAGGGCAUGCCUGUUCGAGCGUCAUCUAAACCUUCAAGCCCUGCUUGGUGUUGGGUGCCUGUCCCGCCUCCGGCGCGGACUCACCUCAAAUCCAUUGGCGGCCCCCGCGUCGGCCACGAGCGCAGCAGAAACGCGAACUCGUGAGCCCGUCCGGGCGGCUCCCAGAAGCUACACCCACCCAGUUUGACCUCGGAUCAGGUAGGGAUACCCGCUGAACUUAAGC
This 304-nucleotide unclassified non-coding RNA is filed under the name plant metagenome. RNAcentral describes it as "partial contains 5.8S ribosomal RNA, internal transcribed spacer 2, and large subunit ribosomal RNA". The stretch from base 1 to 105 matches the Rfam family "5.8S ribosomal RNA", at positions 50 to 154 of the family's 154-position model. The record is from RNAcentral.